RNAcentral lists this transfer RNA (70 nucleotides) under Hoplolatilus cuniculus (dusky tilefish). RNAcentral describes it as "tRNA-Ile". It matches the Rfam family "tRNA". Rfam says of the family: Transfer RNA (tRNA) molecules are approximately 80 nucleotides in length. Their secondary structure includes four short double-helical elements and three loops (D, anti-codon, and T loops). The record is from RNAcentral. Lineage: Eukaryota; Metazoa; Chordata; Actinopteri; Malacanthidae.
GGAACUGUGCCUGAAGUAAAGGGCCACUUUGAUAGAGUGUAUUAUGAGGGUUCAAAUCCCUCCAGCUCCU